AACGCACCUUGCGCUCUUUGGUAUUCCGAAGAGCAUGCCUGUUUGAGUGUCAUGAAUAUAUCAAUCUCUUGACUUGUUAAUUCGAGUCGAGGGAUUGGACUUGGGAGCUUGCUGGCGAUCGUCAGCUCUCCUUGAAUGUAUUAGCUUGGACCUUACUACGAGGAUCCCCGGUGUGAUAAUUAUCUACGCCGUCGAAGCCUAGUAGCGCGUGUUACCCUGCUUUAUUGCGGUCGCCGUAACCGUGGGCUUUAUCGCCUGAGGCAUACAAGCUUAUAAUCGUCUUCGGACAACAUUUUUAUCAUCUGACCUCAAAUCAGGUAGGACUACCCGCUGAACUUAA
Molecule: unclassified non-coding RNA, 340 nt
Filed under: uncultured fungus
Lineage: Eukaryota; Fungi
Description: partial contains 5.8S ribosomal RNA, internal transcribed spacer 2, and large subunit ribosomal RNA
Rfam family: 5.8S ribosomal RNA (bases 1-52)
Source: RNAcentral